CCUACGGGAGGCAGCAGUAAGGAAUAUUGGUCAAUGGACGAAAGUCUGAACCAGCCAUGCCGCGUGAAGGAUGAAGGCCCUCUGGGUUGUAAACUUCUUUUAUCUGGGACGAAAAAAGCUCAUUCUUGAGCACUUGACGGUACCAGAGGAAUAAGCACCGGCUAACUCCGUGCCAGCAGCCGCGGUAAUACGGAGGGUGCAAGCGUUAUCCGGAUUCACUGGGUUUAAAGGGUGCGUAGGUGGGUCUGUAAGUCAGUGGUGAAAUCUCCGGGCUUAACUCGGAAACUGCCAUUGAUACUAUAGGCCUUGAAUCAUCUGGAGGUAAGCGGAAUAUGUCAUGUAGCGGUGAAAUGCUUAGAUAUGACAUAGAACACCAAUUGCGAAGGCAGCUUACUACGGGUGUAUUGACACUGAGGCACGAAAGCGUGGGGAUCAAACAGGAUUAGAUACCCUGGUAGUCCACGCCCUAAACCGAUGGAUACUCGACAUCAGCGAUACACUGUUGGUGUCUGAGCGAAAGCAUUAAGUAUCCCACCUGGGAAGUACGACCGCAAGGUUGAAACGUCAAAUGAAUUGACGG
This 580-nucleotide ribosomal RNA is filed under the name uncultured bacterium. Its description in RNAcentral is "bacterial SSU rRNA". It matches the Rfam family "Bacterial small subunit ribosomal RNA", at positions 338 to 916 of the family's 1533-position model. The record is from RNAcentral.